This 467-nucleotide ribosomal RNA is filed under the name uncultured bacterium. RNAcentral describes it as "partial 16S ribosomal RNA". It matches the Rfam family "Bacterial small subunit ribosomal RNA", at positions 29 to 507 of the family's 1533-position model. The record is from RNAcentral.
AUGAACGCUGGCGGCGUGCUUAACACAUGCAAGUCGAACGGAAAGGCCCAAGCUUGCUUGGGUACUCGAGUGGCGAACGGGUGAGUAACACGUGGGUGAUCUGCCCUGCACUUCGGGAUAAGCCUGGGAAACUGGGUCUAAUACCGGAUAGGACCACUUCUUGGAUGUUGUGGUGGAAAGUUUUCUCGGUGUGGGAUGAGCUCGCGGCCUAUCAGCUUGUUGGUGGGGUAAUGGCCUACCAAGGCGUCGACGGGUAGCCGGCCUGAGAGGGUGUACGGCCACAUUGGGACUGGGAUACGGCCCAGACUCCUACGGGAGGCAGCAGUGGGGAAUAUUGCACAAUGGGCGCAAGACUGAUGCAGCGACGCCGCGUGGGGGAUGACGGCCUUCGGGUUGUAAACUCCUUUCGCUAGGGACGAAGCGUUUUUGUGACGGUACCUGGAGAAGAAGCACCGGCUAACUACGUG